AAACUCAAAGGAAUUGACGGGGACCCGCACAAGCAGCGGAGCAUGUGGUUUAAUUCGAAGCAACGCGAAGAACCUUACCAGGUCUUGACAUCCUCUGACAAUCUGAGAGAUCAGACUUUCCCUUCGGGGACAGAGAGACAGGUGGUGCAUGGUUGUCGUCAGCUCGUGUCGUGAGAUGUUGGGUUAAGUCCCGCAACGAGCGCAACCCCUGUGGUUAGUUGCCAUCAUUUAGUUGGGCACUCUAAGCAGACUGCCGUGGAUAACACGGAGGAAGGUGGGGACGACGUCAAAUCAUCAUGCCCCUUAUGACCUGGGCUACACACGUGCUACAAUGGUCUGAACAGAGGGCUGCGAAACCGCGAGGUGAAGCUAAUCCCUUAAAACAGAUCUCAGUUCGGAUUGCAGGCUGCAACUCGCCUGCAUGAAGUUGGAGUUGCUAGUAAUCGCAGAUCAGAAUGCUGCGGUGAAUGCGUUCCCGGGUCUUGUACACACCGCCCGUCACACCACGAGAGUUGGCAACACCCGAAGUCAGUGAGGCAACCGCAAGGAGCCAGCUGCCGAAGGUGGGGUCAGUAAUU
This 578-nucleotide ribosomal RNA is filed under the name uncultured Acetobacterium sp. Its description in RNAcentral is "bacterial SSU rRNA". It matches the Rfam family "Bacterial small subunit ribosomal RNA", at positions 897 to 1476 of the family's 1533-position model. Lineage: Bacteria; Bacillati; Bacillota; Clostridia; Eubacteriales; Eubacteriaceae. The record is from RNAcentral.